UAACGAGGCAGGAAAAGGUAAGGAGAGAGAAGUAGCAAGGGAGGGAGAAUAAAGACGGAAUGUAGGUUCACGUUAGAAGGGGCAGCGUGGGCGAUCUGGGACCGCUGUUUGCAGGGCUGGAUCAGGCUGGAACGCACAGGCUACUGGUUGGAACGCACGUGGGCGAUCACUAGGGUAACACAGGAAGUGUGUUGCCGGAUACGUGUCAGCAGAUGUGACUUCCGUCCAGCCGGUCCCGGUAAACGGCGAUACCUGACAGCGUGACCAAGCAGUGUGGUGGGAAUUUAAGAGGGAUUUUUUUUUAUAUAGGUCUGAGUAAGUAAAGCAAAGAAUAGGCCUGUAAGGAAGGACUGAUGAUGAUUGGAGGCAUAGAAGCACAACAAUCAGACAUGGAAACAAGUUCAUUACCGCUAUUGGCUGCAGACUGAUACUGUACUUUCUUAUGUUGUCAUUAAAGUACUCUGGUGGUCUCAA
Long non-coding RNA from Pseudophryne corroboree (corroboree frog), 474 nucleotides. RefSeq lists it as uncharacterized. The record is from RefSeq and is a predicted model, not a curated record. Lineage: Eukaryota; Metazoa; Chordata; Amphibia; Anura; Myobatrachidae. The transcript is spliced from 4 exons.